AUAUCUUUUUUCGUCCUUUUCGAUACGAUAUCCUUCAAUUUUUUUUCUGAAUUCUAUUGACAAUAAAAUUCUGGGAAGCUACCUGGAAGCGUGAGUCGUUUGCUACACUCUCAAUAUAUUUAAAUAACAUUUAAAAACAAAAUAUGCCUGGCCAGACCCGAGGAUCUCGAUGAGGGUUAAGGUUGUGUGUUCUCUUCCAUCCGGACGACAUGAUGUAAGCAUGCAACAGCUGCUCAUAAAAGGCAUUUUUGAUCAUAUCGUCCUCCUCUUCCAACGAGUCAUGGACGCAAAUUAGUAUUACGUUGAAAAAUUUUACUCUGAUGGUCAUUGUAGGAAUGGAGUAUAGUCUACCACUAUAACUGCAUACCCAGAAGCAUGACUACACGCCAUUACAAUCCAAACAACAACUCUCAAAGAACAAAGGAUAAAACAAAAUUUUCCACUCUACAAAUAAUUUUAAUUAUUACUUAGUGGGAAUGAUAAGACAUUUAUGGCCCCUCUAUGGCACGGACUGACGGACGCCUAAGCUGCCCUGGAGUCUCAGUUUUGUCACGAUUGAGGCUGCCGCUUCGCUGACAGCUUUCCAGUUCUCAGUGGACUGACACAUGAGUGUCGUAGAAUUUACUGUAAAACCACCGACCGAAGAGAAAAACUUAAAACCACCGAGUGUAAGUAGUUCUAAGUUUUUCACUUGUACUUAGAAAGCAAGGACAAUAAAAGAAUACAUGCGCAGAGUCUUCAAAGCACUCUAAAGCACCCAUGUCCACUUAGUAUUUGGGUUAGAUGGAGAUCCAGGUUCUCUUGACUAUCCACGAAUGGAUGUUCGAUAUCAGUCUGUGGGUCCACCGACGUUUGAGUGAGGUUUGCCACCGCUGCUGUCAUAUUGCUAAGCGUUUGACUCUCUCUUCUCUUUUUGGCGGAAAGCACUGCUUUGUCUAAGAAAGAAACAAUAUUUUUAUAAAUUUCAAAACCAGAAAGUUUAGUUUUAACACUGAUUCGGUCGGUAAUGAACUAACAGAACUCACUUUACUUAAAAAAGGAACCUAUUUACUGGUGUAUUACAGGUGUAUUCUAUAUUUGAGAAAAAAACUGUAAAAUACCAAAAGAGAUUAAUCUUGAAUUGAAAAAAACUUAUUUUAUUUGGUUUAAAACCACGCUGUGGUAUUUUCUCUCUCUUUAUCUUUUUCGUUCUCACGAAUAAGUCUAUCUAUGACACACACAUGCACAUAAUAAUAAAGGUGUGCGGCUUAACUUAGUACAUUUGAAGAGAAAGUAUGGUUCAAUGCCGCACUAAGGUAGUUUUCUUUCUCGCUCUCACGAACAAGCAUAUCUACGAUAUGUGCAUGAUGUAUGUGUAUGUACGAAGCAAGUAAUCAUAAUAGUAUCCCUCGAGUUCUUAAAUAUGUUUGGAAUAAAAUAAUUUACUGACAAAAGCAUCUUGUUUAAGAUAAUUCAUAUUUUUCUAUAGAAUCUUAUAUAAUUUUUUUUAGUAGCGCUGCGUUGUCAUUUAGAGUUAGAUAAAAGGCAGUUUUGAUUUGCGUUUUGCGCCAUGGGUAGGCACAAAGUUAAGUGAUUUGUACAUGGUGUUUUUCUCCUCAAGAUGCUGUUCCAUUGUCGGAACCGCCUAGCUGCCGUUCAAAGUGUACGACCAAAAUCAUGUCCUUGUUUGAAACAAUUUGUUCAUUUGACAGAAUAUCUAGAUGAAAUUGGGAACUGAUUAUUAUCGAAUUUACCGUAACAAUCUCUAUUAACCAGUCCAGUCCAUCAGUCCACUAUAGCGUAUAGCGGCCAUACAAAAUGAGCGAUCAAAAUCAAGUUUUUGUAUGGAAUUUUUCGUAAUUGGAAGGCUAAUAUAGAUUCGGUGGAACCGAGGUUAAGCUUUUUUUCUAUUUUUCUUUUAAUAUGAUUUAUUUGCACUUCUUUUUCAAAGGGUUUCAACCUACUAUGACUUCUUUAUCAACUUCUAUCUUUCUCAAAGGCUGGUGGAGUAUGAAAAUAUGUGCUUGAGCUUCACUAAAGAGAAGGUAUCAAACUUCAGAGAUUUUAAAGGAUUAUUGGUUGUUAAUAAAUUUUUAAAAAAUAAUUAUUGAAAUUCAGAAUAAAUUUACUUAACAUUUUAUUUGUACAAGAAAAGAAUAGUAUAUAUGUACAAACAGUAAUCUACACAUCAAAUAAAAAAAGCAAUGUUAAACGCUGCUUGUAUGAUAUGAAAGACUGUAUGCACACAAUUCAAUGCUAUUAAGCAGAAAUUAUGUAAAAGAUGGUAUAUCGAAAGCUUCAGCAUAUAAUGUAAAUAAAUCAUUUUUAAGAACUGUAAAUAUAUAUAAUUAAACAUGAAUGAAUGAGUGAAUAAAUAUCUAAAACUAAUACCAUAUACAUACUAGGCAACUAACGGAAACUUAUACCAAAAAGUCGCUAUCUGGAUUGCAGAACAAAAUUCAAAAUCAAACCUUAAUUUAAAUUAUGAUUAAGUGUAACUGAGUUAAGUAAUACUUAAAAAUAUAUUAGAGAAAGUGGUUAGGUUAAAUGAAUUGAUUCCAAAAAAUCAUUAACAUACAUAUCAUGCAAUGCGAUUCAAGUUAAAAUUGUUAUAAACAAAAGUGAAAAAAAAAUCAUAAAUUAAAAAAAAAAUUAUCAAAAAUUAGUAGCUCAUGAAAUAUACACACAAGUAUUAUAUACGUGUAUAUACAUAUAUAAAUAUAUAUAUAUUCAAAAGUUGUUCAUAUACAUACAUAUAUAUAGUACAUACUUGCCAUAUAUAAAAGGGUAGUUAUGAGAAGAAUUGCUACAAAAACGUUAAAUUAUAUAUAAAAACACAUAUGUAUGUAUAUCUGUGUAAGCUUCGUGGCUUAAGCAAAAAAUUGCUCCAACCCUCUUUGCCCCGCCUGAAAUUGCUACGGAGUUAAUAAGUGAGUAAAAGACAACAAAAAGAAAUUGCUAAAAUAAGAUUAUAUAAAUAAAUGCUAAAUUAUAUAUUAGUUGACAAAUUAAUACAUUAUAAAUAUAUAUAUUAGUGCGUAAUAUUGAAAGUUUAUUACUGUUUGCAUGUUUGCAAAACUAUAUUCAAAAUAUUACAUAAUGUUUUACGAUCAUUUCAUUUAGUAAUAAUAUAAACAUACAUGUGUAUGUAUACAUUGUAUGCAAAAUAGUACUAAGUCUAUAAUUUGAGCUGUUUACUCAGUGAAGUACUAUAUAACACAAUGAUUAUUUGUAUGAAUGCUAUAUGAAAAUAAUAAAGGAAAAAUUGUUUAGAGCAAAAAAUUAAAGCAUAAAAUUUAA
Molecule: long non-coding RNA, 3279 nt
Organism: Bactrocera neohumeralis
Lineage: Eukaryota; Metazoa; Arthropoda; Insecta; Diptera; Tephritidae
Exons: 2
Source: RefSeq, a predicted model, not a curated record